Long non-coding RNA from Thalassophryne amazonica, 434 nucleotides. RefSeq lists it as uncharacterized. The transcript has 3 exons. The record is from RefSeq and is a predicted model, not a curated record. NCBI's taxonomy places the organism in Eukaryota, Metazoa, Chordata, Actinopteri, Batrachoidiformes, Batrachoididae.
ACAUUUUGACAUAUGGUUUUCACCAAAGGAAAACAAAAACCCAUUUUUGUUUCUCCCAAUUUGUAAAGAUGUACCAGCAUGACAGAGAAUACAAGGCACAUCCCCAAUAAAUGUGCUGAUUUUAAGAAAAAACACAAUCUUGCAUAUAUUCUGAAGAUCAUUCUAGGCUUGACUGUUUCAGUCUUUGAAAGUGCCAAAUGCCUGUGCAGACUGAGUUCCGUUGGGUUUCUGUCUUUGCUUUGUACGGUGCAGCAGCGUUUGUACAAUGAGGUUGCAUUUUUGUACACAAUGUUAUUUUUCUGCUUAUUGCUUGACUAUAGAAACCAAAUGUUCUGCGUAAACCUGCCAAAACAAAUAUACCUGCCAAUGUUGAGUGAAAAAGUGAUAAUAAAACAAUAAAAAAAAUAAUUAAAAACUUUUUUGUUUGACACAGA